Molecule: ribosomal RNA, 253 nt
Filed under: uncultured bacterium
Lineage: Bacteria
Description: partial 16S ribosomal RNA
Rfam family: Bacterial small subunit ribosomal RNA
Source: RNAcentral
GACGAACCGAGCGAACGUUGUUCGGAAUCACUGGGCUUAAAGGGCGCGUAGGUGGGUUGGUAAGUCAGUGGUGAAAUCUCCAAGCUUAACUUGGAAACUGCCAUUGAUACUAUCAGUCUGGAAUAUUGUGGAGGUCAGCGGAAUAUGUCAUGUAGCGGUGAAAUGCUUAGAGAUGACAUAGAACACCAAUUGCGAAGGCAGCUGGCUACGCAUAUAUUGACACUGAGGCACGAAAGCGUGGGGAGCAAACAGG